GUAGCUGGUCUGAGAGGAUGACCAGCCACACUGGAACUGAGACACGGUCCAGACUCCUACGGGAGGCAGCAGUGGGGAAUAUUGGACAAUGGGGGCAACCCUGAUCCAGCAAUGCCGCGUGUGUGAAGAAGGCCUGAGGGUUGUAAAGCACUUUCAGUGGGGAGGAGGAUUCAUAGGUUAAGAGCUGAUKAAUUGGACGUUACCCACAGAAGAAGCACCGGCUAACUCCGUGCCAGCAGCCGCGGUAAUACGGAGGGUGCAAGCGUUAAUCGGAAUUACUGGGCGUAAAGGGUGCGUAGGUGGUUAAUUAAGUUAUCUGUGAAAUCCCCGGGCUCAACCUGGGCAGGUCAGAUAAUACUGGUUAACUCGAGUGUGG
This 376-nucleotide ribosomal RNA is filed under the name uncultured Legionella sp. Its description in RNAcentral is "bacterial SSU rRNA". It matches the Rfam family "Bacterial small subunit ribosomal RNA", at positions 283 to 651 of the family's 1533-position model. The record is from RNAcentral. Lineage: Bacteria; Pseudomonadati; Pseudomonadota; Gammaproteobacteria; Legionellales; Legionellaceae.